This 1290-nucleotide ribosomal RNA is filed under the name Salmonella enterica. RNAcentral's name for it is "partial 23S ribosomal RNA". It matches the Rfam family "Bacterial large subunit ribosomal RNA", at positions 1 to 1221 of the family's 2925-position model. The record is from RNAcentral. Lineage: Bacteria; Pseudomonadati; Pseudomonadota; Gammaproteobacteria; Enterobacterales; Enterobacteriaceae.
GGGUUGUGAGGUUAAGCGACUAAGCGUACACGGUGGAUGCCCUGGCAGUCAGAGGCGAUGAAGGGCGUGCUAAUCUGCGAUAAGCGCCGGUAAGGUGAUAUGAACCGUUAUAACCGGCGAUACCCGAAUGGGGAAACCCAGUGUGACUCGUCACACUAUCAUUAACUGAAUCCAUAGGUUAAUGAGGCGAACCGGGGGAACUGAAACAUCUAAGUACCCCGAGGAAAAGAAAUCAACCGAGAUUCCCCCAGUAGCGGCGAGCGAACGGGGAGGAGCCCAGAGCCUGAAUCAGCAUGUGUGUUAGUGGAAGCGUCUGGAAAGGCGCGCGAUACAGGGUGACAGCCCCGUACACAAAAGCGUAUGUGCUGUGAGCUCGAUGAGUAGGGCGGGACACGUGGUAUCCUGUCUGAAUAUGGGGGGACCAUCCUCCAAGGCUAAAUACUCCUGACUGACCGAUAGUGAACCAGUACCGUGAGGGAAAGGCGAAAAGAACCCCGGCGAGGGGAGUGAAAAAGAACCUGAAACCGUGUACGUACAAGCAGUGGGAGCCCCACCACUAAGCCAGUGGUGAACUCCACAUACGCAUCCUUUGCUGAGGAUACGGUUAACGGAGCGAAAGCGACGUUCAACCGCAAAAGAAGCAGAGGGGGCUUAGUGGUGGGGUGACUGCGUACCUUUUGUAUAAUGGGUCAGCGACUUAUAUUCUGUAGCAAGGUUAACCGAAUAGGGGAGCCGGAGGGAAACCGAGUCUUAACCGGGCGUUAAGUUGCAGGGUAUAGACCCGAAACCCGGUGAUCUAGCCAUGGGCAGGUUGAAGGUUGGGUAACACUAACUGGAGGACCGAACCGACUAAUGUUGAAAAAUUAGCGGAUGACCUGUGGCUGGGGGUGAAAGGCCAAUCAAACCGGGAGAUAGCUGGUUCUCCCCGAAAGCUAUUUAGGUAGCGCCUCGUGAAUUCAUCUCCGGGGGUAGAGCACUGUUUCGGCUAGGGGGCCAUCCCGGCUUACCAACCCGAUGCAAACUGCGAAUACCGGAGAAUGUUAUCACGGGAGACACACGGCGGGUGCUAACGUCCGUCGUGAAGAGGGAAACAACCCAGACCGCCAGCUAAGGUCCCAAAGUCAUGGUUAAGUGGGAAACGAUGUGGGAAGGCCCAGACAGCCAGGAUGUUGGCUUAGAAGCAGCCAUCAUUUAAAGAAAGCGUAAUAGCUCACUGGUCGAGUCGGCCUGCGCGGAAGAUGUAACGGGGCUAAACCAUGCACCGAAGCUGCGGCAGCGACGCUUAUGCGU